Molecule: long non-coding RNA, 624 nt
Organism: Chiroxiphia lanceolata (lance-tailed manakin)
Lineage: Eukaryota; Metazoa; Chordata; Aves; Passeriformes; Pipridae
Exons: 2
Source: RefSeq, a predicted model, not a curated record
GCCAACAGGACCUCAUAAAGUCCUGUGGAGGUCAGCAGUGCUUGGUGCUGAACCUACAAUGUGGAGCUGUAGGAGUUGGAUGCUUUUCAGAGAGCUUUAAAUACUUGUUUUGACAUCUGAAGACUUUUAGACAUGGACAGAUGAGAAGUAAAUUCUCUCUGCAUUAAGCCUGUAAUUCUGCACAGGAAAUCUUGCUCCACAGAAUGGAGAUGCACAUGCUGAGAGUUUCAUUCCACUUACAUUUUAUUUCAUUCCCGUUCAGCACCUGGGCUAUUUGCGUGUGUAAAAGAAGAAAUGUGCUUAAGAGACCUGAGUUAAGGCCAUUCCAGCCCUACCUCAAACACUACAACAUGGAAGGAACACAAGAAAACAAGGUGAUAGCAGCGAUCUACUACUCAAGGUUGAGAAACCUCCACUGGGAUCAACUUAAAAAAGCUGCUAGCAGCCACCUGGGAGCCCCCACUCACCGUGACCUCACUGCUAUGGAUGGAAUGGCUUCCUAAGGGUGCUUGUGCCAGUUCGGAAGGUCUGGAGUUAGUGUUAUACCACAGUCUGAGCUUCUGUGUUCGGUCUCUGUAUCAUACACGAACAAGUUAAAAAAUAGAGGCCAUGUAAACACUUUAA